UAAUAAAAACAAAACACUAUCUUUUCAGUAUAGAAAUAAAGAAAAUUUAAUAAUU
This 55-nucleotide transfer RNA is filed under the name Bemisia tabaci. RNAcentral describes it as "tRNA-Glu". The record is from RNAcentral. Lineage: Eukaryota; Metazoa; Arthropoda; Insecta; Hemiptera; Aleyrodidae.